GACGAACGCUGGCGGCGGGCUUAACACAUGCAAGUCGAACGGUCACUUCGGAGUUAGGGUCCGACGGGUGAGUAAGAGGUGGGAACGUGCCUUUUGGCUCGGCCUAACUCAGGGAAACUUGUGCUAAUAGGGAACGAGCCCUUCGGGGGAAAGAGUUAUCGCUAUUAGAGCGGCCCGCGUCUGAUUAGCUUGUGGGUGAGGUAACGGCCCACCCAGGCGGCGAUCAGUAGCUGGUCUGAGAGGAGGACCAGCCGCACUGGGACCGGGCCACGGCCCAGACUGCGACGGGAGGGAGGAGUAGGGAACAUUGCGCGAUAGGCUAAAGCCUGACACAGCCAUGCGGGGUGAAGGAUGAAGGGCUUUGGAUUGUUAUAUUCUUUGACCAGGGACGAUAGUGACGGUACCCGGAGAAGAAGCCCCGGCUAACUACGUG
RNAcentral lists this ribosomal RNA (433 nucleotides) under uncultured bacterium. RNAcentral describes it as "partial 16S ribosomal RNA". It matches the Rfam family "Bacterial small subunit ribosomal RNA", at positions 28 to 507 of the family's 1533-position model. The record is from RNAcentral.